This 527-nucleotide ribosomal RNA is filed under the name uncultured eukaryote. Its description in RNAcentral is "bacterial SSU rRNA". It matches the Rfam family "Eukaryotic small subunit ribosomal RNA", at positions 21 to 549 of the family's 1831-position model. The record is from RNAcentral.
UAGUCAUAUGCUUGUCUCAAAGAUUAAGCCAUGCAUGUCUAAGUAUAAGCACUUGUACUGUGAAACUGCGAAUGGCUCAUUAAAUCAGUUAUCGUUUAUUUGAUUGUACAUUUACUACAUGGAUACCUGUGGUAAUUCUAGAGCUAAUACAUGCGAAAAGUCCCGACUUCUGGAAGGGAUGUAUUUAUUAGAUUAAAAACCAAUACGGGUCAAACCGUUCUAUUGGUGAUUCAUGAUAACUUAUCGAAUCGCAUGGCUCACGCCGGCGACGUUUCAUUCAAAUUUCUGCCCUAUCAACUUUCGAUGGUAAGGUAUUGGCUUACCAUGGUUACAACGGGUAACGGAGAAUUAGGGUUCGAUUCCGGAGAGGGAGCCUGAGAAACGGCUACCACUUCCAAGGAAGGCAGCAGGUGCGCAAAUUACCCAAUCCUGACACAGGGAGGUAGUGACAAAAAAUAACAAUACAGGACUUUUAAAGCCUUGUAAUUGGAAUGAGUACAAUUUAAACCCCUUAACGAGUAACAAUU